CAGCAGCCGCGGGAACACGUAGGUGGCAAGCGUUGUCCGGAAUUAUUGGGCGUAAAGGGCUCGCAGGCGGUUUCUUAAGUCUGAUGUGAAAGCCCCCGGCUCAACCGGGGAGGGUCAUUGGAAACUGGGAAACUUGAGUGCAGAAGAGGAGAGUGGAAUUCCACGUGUAGCGGUGAAAUGCGUAGAGAUGUGGAGGAACACCAGUGGCGAAGGCGACUCUCUGGUCUGUAACUGACGCUGAGGAGCGAAAGCGUGGGUAGCGAAAGGGAUUAGAUACCCCCGUAGUCCCUGUCUCUUAUAC
Molecule: ribosomal RNA, 301 nt
Filed under: uncultured bacterium
Lineage: Bacteria
Description: partial 16S ribosomal RNA
Rfam family: Bacterial small subunit ribosomal RNA
Source: RNAcentral